AGAGUUUGAUCCUGGCUCAGAAUGAACGCUGGCGGCGUGCUUAACACAUGCAAGUCGAACGCGAACGUCACUUCGGUGGCUAGUAGAGUGGCGAACGGGUGAGUAACACGUGGACAACCUGCCCGGAUGUGGGGGACAACUUUUGGAAACGGAAGCUAAUACCGCAUUCGCUCGGAGAUCGCAUGGUCUCCGUGGAAAGGCCGCUUCGGCGGUCGCAUCCGGAGGGGUCCGCGGCUGAUUAGCUAGUUGGUGAGGUAACGGCUCACCAAGGCGACGAUCAGUAGCCGGCCUGAGAGGGCGAUCGGCCACACUGGAACUGAGACACGGUCCAGACUCCUACGGGAGGCAGCAGUGGGGAAUAUUGGACAAUGGGGGAAACCCUGAUCCAGCAACGCCGCGUGGAGGAUGAAGGCCUUCGGGUUGUAAACUCCUGUCAGGUGGAACGAAAAGCUCCGUCCAAUAAAUGGAGUCUAUGACGGUACCACCAGAGGAAGCCCCGGCUAACUCCGUGCCAGCAGCCGCGGUAAUACGGAGGGGGCGAGCGUUAUUCGGAAUUAUUGGGCGUAAAGGGCGCGUAGGCGGUCUUUUAAGUCAGGGUGAAAUCCCUCGGCUCAACCGAGGAACUGCCUCUGAAACUGAA
Molecule: ribosomal RNA, 640 nt
Filed under: uncultured Acidobacteriota bacterium
Lineage: Bacteria; Pseudomonadati; Acidobacteriota
Description: bacterial SSU rRNA
Rfam family: Bacterial small subunit ribosomal RNA
Source: RNAcentral